Molecule: ribosomal RNA, 1475 nt
Filed under: Escherichia coli
Lineage: Bacteria; Pseudomonadati; Pseudomonadota; Gammaproteobacteria; Enterobacterales; Enterobacteriaceae
Description: partial 23S ribosomal RNA
Rfam family: Bacterial large subunit ribosomal RNA
Source: RNAcentral
GGGACACGUGGUAUCCUGUCUGAAUAUGGGGGGACCAUCCUCCAAGGCUAAAUACUCCUGACUGACCGAUAGUGAACCAGUACCGUGAGGGAAAGGCGAAAAGAACCCCGGCGAGGGGAGUGAAAAAGAACCUGAAACCGUGUACGUACAAGCAGUGGGAGCACGCUUAGGCGUGUGACUGCGUACCUUUUGUAUAAUGGGUCAGCGACUUAUAUUCUGUAGCAAGGUUAACCGAAUAGGGGAGCCGAAGGGAAACCGAGUCUUAACUGGGCGUUAAGUUGCAGGGUAUAGACCCGAAACCCGGUGAUCUAGCCAUGGGCAGGUUGAAGGUUGGGUAACACUAACUGGAGGACCGAACCGACUAAUGUUGAAAAAUUAGCGGAUGACUUGUGGCUGGGGGUGAAAGGCCAAUCAAACCGGGAGAUAGCUGGUUCUCCCCGAAAGCUAUUUAGGUAGCGCCUCGUGAAUUCAUCUCCGGGGGUAGAGCACUGUUUCGGCAAGGGGGUCAUCCCGACUUACCAACCCGAUGCAAACUGCGAAUACCGGAGAAUGUUAUCACGGGAGACACACGGCGGGUGCUAACGUCCGUCGUGAAGAGGGAAACAACCCAGACCGCCAGCUAAGGUCCCAAAGUCAUGGUUAAGUGGGAAACGAUGUGGGAAGGCCCAGACAGCCAGGAUGUUGGCUUAGAAGCAGCCAUCAUUUAAAGAAAGCGUAAUAGCUCACUGGUCGAGUCGGCCUGCGCGGAAGAUGUAACGGGGCUAAACCAUGCACCGAAGCUGCGGCAGCGACACUAUGUGUUGUUGGGUAGGGGAGCGUUCUGUAAGCCUGUGAAGGUGUGCUGUGAGGCAUGCUGGAGGUAUCAGAAGUGCGAAUGCUGACAUAAGUAACGAUAAAGCGGGUGAAAAGCCCGCUCGCCGGAAGACCAAGGGUUCCUGUCCAACGUUAAUCGGGGCAGGGUGAGUCGACCCCUAAGGCGAGGCCGAAAGGCGUAGUCGAUGGGAAACAGGUUAAUAUUCCUGUACUUGGUGUUACUGCGAAGGGGGGACGGAGAAGGCUAUGUUGGCCGGGCGACGGUUGUCCCGGUUUAAGCGUGUAGGCUGGUUUUCCAGGCAAAUCCGGAAAAUCAAGGCUGAGGCGUGAUGACGAGGCACUACGGUGCUGAAGCAACAAAUGCCCUGCUUCCAGGAAAAGCCUCUAAGCAUCAGGUAACAUCAAAUCGUACCCCAAACCGACACAGGUGGUCAGGUAGAGAAUACCAAGGCGCUUGAGAGAACUCGGGUGAAGGAACUAGGCAAAAUGGUGCCGUAACUUCGGGAGAAGGCACGCUGAUAUGUAGGUGAAGUCCCUCGCGGAUGGAGCUGAAAUCAGUCGAAGAUACCAGCUGGCUGCAACUGUUUAUUAAAAACACAGCACUGUGCAAACACGAAAGUGGACGUAUACGGUGUGACGCCUGCCCGGUGCCGGAAGGUUAA